UGCAUAUAACAUUGAGGAGAAAUAUUUCGGGACAUGAUUAGAUCGCGAAUAUCACAAUUGUUUUUCUCUGUUUUGUCUACUAAUUGUAAAAUGAGUCCGAACCGUACUUUUUAUUUUAAAGGCUUCUAAGGAGAAGCAUUAAAAUUGCUUUUAUAUAUGAUAAAAUGUUUGAAUACAGAAUAAGAAAAUUAUCAAUUGGUUUUUGAGAAGACUUUAGUAGCGUCUCAAACUGACAACGUCCAAAAAGUACGAAACUUGCAAGACAUUGGUCUUGAUUUGUCCAAAUCAUCAAUGCGAUAAUUGCAAACUUUUAAUAAUCCCUUUUCAAUAAUAAAUUAUUGUCUACACCUACAGUUUAGAACGAAUACGACAGGUGAGAUAUGAGGGUGUUGUCCCAAAAAAAAAAUUGAAAAAUAUUAAUGAUCGCAUAUGAUUAUUUUGCUUGCCAACACAUAUAUAACGUGUAUAAAAGCAAUUGUUGUGUCCGUAUCUUAUUUUGUUCAUUAAGUAUUUGAUAAUCAAAAUUACACUUGUUUGUAAAUUGACUAUUAAAAAGGAAGGAC
RNAcentral lists this long non-coding RNA (563 nucleotides) under Mytilus galloprovincialis (Mediterranean mussel). Lineage: Eukaryota; Metazoa; Mollusca; Bivalvia; Mytilida; Mytilidae. The record is from RNAcentral.